UACGGAGGUGGCAAGCGUUGUUCGGAUUUACUGGGCGUAAAGGGCGCGUAGGCGGCGCGGUAAGUCACUUGUGAAAUCUCUGAGCUUAACUCAGAACGGCCAAGUGAUACUGCAGUGCUAGAGUGUGGAAGGGGCAAUCGGAAUUCUUGGUGUAGCGGUGAAAUGCGUAGAUAUCAAGAGGAACACCUGAGGUGAAGACGGGUUGCUGGGCCAACACUGACGCUGAGGCGCGAAAGCCAGGGGAGCAAACGGG
This 253-nucleotide ribosomal RNA is filed under the name uncultured bacterium. Its description in RNAcentral is "partial 16S ribosomal RNA". It matches the Rfam family "Bacterial small subunit ribosomal RNA", at positions 524 to 776 of the family's 1533-position model. The record is from RNAcentral.